UAUUUGUGCGUUGAGACACUUUC
Molecule: small nuclear RNA, 23 nt
Filed under: Arabidopsis thaliana (thale cress)
Lineage: Eukaryota; Viridiplantae; Streptophyta; Magnoliopsida; Brassicales; Brassicaceae
Description: snRNA_08150
Source: RNAcentral